GGAUUUUUUGGGGAAAAAUAGCAAUAGGCAAACAUCCCUGCUGCUCUUUUUCUUUCUUCUUGUUACUUAAAAAAAAUAAAGUUCUAAUUCCAUCAGCGAGAAAUCGAUUCAAUCAGAAUAUCAAUCUGGGUUGUUUCUUCUUGAAACUCUCUCUGGUCGUAUGAAUUUGUUCUAUUAUGUCUUCGUUGGCUUGUGUUAUGUGCCAUUUGUUUCAUCGGCAAGUUUUCGAAACGAUUCCAUCUGGAAGCUUUGAGAUCAAUUCCAUCGGCACACUAAUCUGGGGAUUCGAUGUACUUAGGGCUGAUCUUGUCUCCCAAAAACUUGUGGGGCCUGAGCUCGGAGACUCACUUCCACUAGUGAUAUUAGGUACGCUUUUCCUACUACUUUCAUUUUGAUAUAUAAUGAUUGUGGUUGAUUAAUUAUCCUCCUUUAGCCUUUAAAUUACGUAGGACUCUUACUGCUAUAUAGAUUUUCUUGGAAUGUUUCCCUUUCCAAACAAUACCAUGACUCCCUUCUCCUAAGUUUUUACUAAAAUCCUUUAUUUUCUUAAUAUUAGCAUAAGAAUAUCUAGUUGUUCUUAUGACCUUGUAGUCUUCCAAUAACUUUCAUGUCUAACUUGACCCUCUCCUCUUUAUUUUUACUUUUGUCAAAUUAAACUGAUAAAUUGAGAGAAUAAUAGUGGAAACUAGAAAUGUACCUAAAUUGAAUAAGAAAAUGUCUUAAGUAUGAAGGAAAAUCAAAUAGGAAAUGGAUAGAGUAAGAACUUCGAAAAAGUUGAGAUAUUGAGAAAACUGACCUGCAAUCAAGGGCUGCUUAGUAAUAUCUUUUGUGCACAAAUUUAUAGUUUAUGUGAAGUGUUUUGUUAUCCAUUACAAUGAUGGAAAAAGAAAAAAAAAAUGUAAGACAUAUAAUAAGACAAUUGUUUGAUUCUAUCGAAACUACAAUCCAAUCUUUUGAACUCAUAUAGAAAGUCUGUCAUAGUGAUCUAUAUUUAUAUACAGAUUAAGAUUAACUAUACUGUAUUUUGGUCUUUACCUCUGUAACACUUUUCUCCUUGUACAGCUAAAUAGAUAUUAUGUACUGCCUUUUGUGUCUUCGCUUUCUAGGAAACAUCUUGACAACAGGAUAUAACAGGGUAUGUCUAAUCUAACCUACCUUCUUCGAUCGAUGCGAGUAGUGCACGGGUUAUGUGAGGCCAAAUUCUUCCACAUUCCUCUGGUUCAACUUAUGUCUGAUUCUUGAAAAGGAAAAUGCGGGUGAUGUAAUUUGAUAUGGUGGCCAUAACUCAAUUUUAUCUAUUAGAGUGACCAUUGAAGACUUUUUGAACAAUUGUGAUCCUUGAAUAUAUUCCACUUUGUACAGUUUAUUGUCAGUGCACAUUUUGAAAUAUUGCUUUAUUAGGUGUAAUACAAGAAAUAUUUGUUUUUCAA
Long non-coding RNA from Nicotiana attenuata, 1430 nucleotides. RefSeq lists it as uncharacterized. NCBI's taxonomy places the organism in Eukaryota, Viridiplantae, Streptophyta, Magnoliopsida, Solanales, Solanaceae. The record is from RefSeq and is a predicted model, not a curated record. The transcript has 3 exons.